GGCUACAACGGGCUGCUCAAGUUCUGUCCUGUCUGGCUGCAACCAAUGUCCAUCUAAGAUGAGGGAGCCAAUGUCCAUCUAAGAUGAGGGAGCUGCUGCAGGAGUGAGAGGAACUUGCCUCACUGUCUUGUUGCUUGGAUGCAGAGUUUUAAGAAAGAGCAAUUGUAAUCUCUGCAAACAUCAACCUGCCUCAAGAUGCAAUGCAACAAAAGCGCUUUGAACCUUGAAGGAAGUACUGCUUGCCUGGCGAUGGUGUAUUAUUCUGAGUGAUGUGUCAUAACAGUGCGAUGAUGAUGAUGUUGCCACUUACACAGCGUACAAAAACAGAUGCCUGCCAUGAUACGUGAAGACAAUACACCACACAGAUUCCUGUUAAUGAGGUAACCUGUCAGGAAUUCUUGAAGCAUAACAAUAGAACAAAAAACUUUUCCUUUAUGCAUAUGUGCAUGGCAAUAAAAUAA
Pseudophryne corroboree (corroboree frog) is the source of this 461-nucleotide long non-coding RNA. RefSeq lists it as uncharacterized. NCBI's taxonomy places the organism in Eukaryota, Metazoa, Chordata, Amphibia, Anura, Myobatrachidae. The record is from RefSeq and is a predicted model, not a curated record. The transcript has 3 exons.